Molecule: small RNA, 710 nt
Filed under: Pan troglodytes (chimpanzee)
Lineage: Eukaryota; Metazoa; Chordata; Mammalia; Primates; Hominidae
Description: retained intron
Source: RNAcentral
CUGCCCUACUUGAUUGAUGGGACUCACAAGAUCACCCAGAGCAACGCCAUCCUGCGGUACAUUGCCCGCAAGCACAACCUGUGCGGGGAAUCAGAAAAGGAGCAGAUUCGCGAAGACAUUUUGGAGAACCAGUUUAUGCAGCUGGCCAAACUCUGCUAUGACCCAGAUUUUGUAAGUCCCCCCAAGUCCCCCCCACCCCACUCCCAGUCUCCCCUACCCUACUCCCAGUCUCCCUUUUCCCUGCAGAGUUUGUGUCCAAAAUUGAUUCCUUCUGGUGAGUUCUUGGUCUUGCUGACUCUAAGAAUGAAGCCGCGGUCCUACACGGUGAGUGUUACAGUUCUUAAAGAUGGUGUAUCCGGAGUUUGUUCCUUCAGAUGUUCAGAUGUGUCCGCAGUUUCUUCCUUCCGGUGGGUUUGUGGUCUUGCUGACUUCAGGGGUGAAGCCGCAGACCUUCGCAGUGAGUGCUACAGCUCUUAAAGGUGGCGCGUCUGGAGUUGUUUAUUCCUCUUGGUGGGUUCAUGGUCUGGCUGGCUUCAGGAGUGAAGCUGCAGACCUUCAUAGUGAAUGUUAUAGCUCAUAAAGGUAGUUCAAACCCAAAGAGUGAGCAACAGCAGGAUUUAUGGUGAAGAGUGAAAGAAAAUACACUUCCACAGCCUGGAAGACAACCUGAGCAGGUUGCUGCUGCUGCUUGGGAAGUGCGGAGGUGGGGA